UACGUAGGAUCCAAGCGUUGUCCGGAUUUACUGGGUGUAAAGGGUGCGCAGGCGGACUUAUAAGUCAGAGGUGAAAUCUCGCUGCUUAACAGCGAAACUGCCUUUGAUACUGUAGGUCUUGAAUUAGGGAGAGAUUCGUGGAAUUCCGAGUGUAGCAGUGAAAUGUGUAGAUAUUCGGAAGAACACCAGAGGCGAAGGCAGCGAAUUGGCCCUAUAUUGACGCUCAGGCACGAAAGCAUGGGGAUCAAACAGG
RNAcentral lists this ribosomal RNA (253 nucleotides) under uncultured bacterium. Its description in RNAcentral is "partial 16S ribosomal RNA". It matches the Rfam family "Bacterial small subunit ribosomal RNA", at positions 524 to 776 of the family's 1533-position model. The record is from RNAcentral.